This is a non-coding RNA of Heterocephalus glaber (naked mole-rat), 4047 nucleotides long. Lineage: Eukaryota; Metazoa; Chordata; Mammalia; Rodentia; Bathyergidae. The record is from RefSeq and is a predicted model, not a curated record.
CCCAGCUGAUAUAGAGAUUUUGAUUAAGUUACCUUCUGUUCUGCUUAGGUGUGGGUAAAUAAAGGGACAAUUGUAAUUUUUAAAAUAUAUUCAUGAUGUUCAAUGAAAUGAAUCAGCUUAGAAAAACUAUACCGUUUAGUCAAAAUAACCUUUACCUCACUAGAUGUUGCUAAGGCAACCUAAAAUGUAAACAUGUUCCGCCCAAUGCUCCCUAGCUAGUGCUUAGAGAUAUAAAAAUAAAUCAGACCCUGAGACUUCUCAGAGGGAACCUGCACAUUGCUUGCGAAGGUUCUUUCCUCACUCGCCGGCCCGAGACCUCGCCCCUUCCUACCCUGCAUCGACUGCAGCUGGUCUGCGGCAAAACUGAGCUGAGAAAUAUGAAUUCAAAAAUCAACUUUUAUAGAAUACUGAUCUUUGAUCAUUUUUACAAAUGGUUGGAAUACAAAUCAAAUAUAGACUUUAACUUCAUCUGAAGCUCAAGUUCGGAAAAUAAACAGAAAACAAAACAAACUCUGAAAUGGCUUAAGCAGACUAGCCUAUCCUUUGAUGGAUAAUGAAAACCCCUAACGUCAAAGCACACAGCUGAGCCCACGGCCUGCCUAACGCUCAGGUGGUGCACUUUGCAGAAUCCCACGACUUUGAUGCCAGACCUGCCACUCUUUCAAAUGCUAAGGUCCUGUAUCUGUCCCCCAUCACUUUCCUUUAUCUCAUUUGCUUAGCCUCUAUUGUAGUUAAUUAUAGAAGUUCAGGUAAAGAGAAGUCAAAUGAAGUAAAUGUUUUGGAAAUCAUAUUGUUUUGGCCGAUAAGAAAAAUAAGAUACAUAUUAUUCAAUAAUUUAGGGCUAUAAGCAAAUCCUGUCUCCUUGAAAAAUUCACCAUUUAUUCUUCAUAGUUGUAUAAUUAAAAAUGUAAAAGCAACUGAGAUGGGGCUCUUUGUACAUAAAUGAUGUAUGUACAUGACUUUUGUUUUCUCUUUUGGGUUGCAUGUAUUUUUAAUUCUUCAACGUUCUUACCUUUCUGGGUCAUACCCCUUUGCCUUCUCACACCUUAUGAUAGAAACGGUCUUCUUAGUAGCUCAGUGCACACAAUAUACUAGGUGUGCAGUGGCUGAUGGAAACUGGAGGACCUCUGAACACCAGCAGCUACACCAGGACUGGCUGUGUAGAUAUUAGUCAAUGUGUUGUUUGGAGCCAGACUUUGGAAAGAUAACUAAGCAGAAAGAAGACUUUUUGUGUUGGGUUUCUGAUCAGAAGACUGAAGUGACUGAUGAAUUCUUUGUUGAAAGGGCAGAGUCAUGUAAAAGACUUUCCCCUUCAAAGACAAAGAGGAUAUAAGGUUUGUAAAAAUCUCUCCAGCCCAUGAGUUUGUCAGAACCAGACUCACUAUCUCUGGGAGGUGUGUAUUAAAUGUUCAAAACACUUGGGAUUAGGGUUCAUGAAAAAUCCAUGUAAAUCUGUGAAUCUUGUGAACCUAUGAAUAUGUUGACCAAUGUGCUUCACUCAAAGUAAAGUAAAUUAUUAUGAAUAUUUUCCAUCAGAAAUUUAUGCAAUGAUGAGAAAUCAGACAAAGAUGAUUCUCAUCAAAUUAAAUAUGAUGAAAAGGUACCUGAUCAGAAAUACUAUGUCAAAUUAUAUGCUCUUCACCACUUGAUAGGAAAGGCCCUAGGUGUUAUAGUGUAGGGAUUUGCAGGAAGAAGAACUCAAAGUUCAUGAGAAAUACAAAGUCCAUGCGAAUGGUGAUAUCAUGUGGGGGAAAUACCGGAGUUAAACACUGACCAGUGAAUCAUUCUUGUCACAUCAACAAAACUACGUAAACCUAAACAUCUCUGCCAUUGACUUUAUUCCAGACUUUUUGUAAGAUAAACUUGCUUGUCAAUUCAAAGAGUGAUUUGUUCUUGAGGCCUAUUCUUCCAAACCAAAAGCCAAUCAAUAGCUUCAAGACUGUUGAGGCUUGGUGUUCUCGAGUUACAAAUAUCUGGGCCCUUCUAGAUAAAGGACAGCCUGUCAAUCAGACAGACAUGGCCACUCUUGAACCUAAUAAGGUUUUUAAUGAGUAGCUUGAGACAGGGGAUAACCCCUACUUCAAAUUCAACCAUCCAGACACAGAGUUCCAAGAGAAGCUCCAGAAUGAUGCUUCUUUCAGAGGUAAUCCUUGGAAGGCUAUAUUCUAUGCUUUAAAAGUGUGAAUUGGAACCCUUGACUGUUUGAAGAAGGCAAUGUCACCCCCAAUUAUAAAGGACAAACUAAAUGACCUGAUCAUGAGGUUUUUAAAACAUCUUAUGAAAAGAAGGUAAAUAUUGACAAUGCUGGAUCUUCACCUUCCUCAGAGGGUGAAUCAUUAGUAGUUCCCAACAACUAAACUUUGGGAUCUACUACAGUGUCUGUGGGGAGAGGGGGCACAGCGGUAGGUGACAGUAGCCAGGGUGCCUAUAAGGAGGCUAAUGCCUCAUGAUAUUGCCACUGAGAUUCCCAAUGGAUGAGAAACAGACUUUACCAUGUUCACAUGAAUCCAGGUCCUACCCCUACAAUGACCACCUUUUUUGACAGAUUUCUAGUCUUAGAGGGGCAGAAGGAAAUGUCAGUGCCUACUUUGGAUGCAGCACUCCCUGGAGAUAGUUUGACUUUAACCAGUUCCAUAGGCAGAGCACCCAGAGACUAGCAAAUACUCACCAACUACCACUGGAGAUUCUGUCCCAAAGGCCUCAAAGGAAAAUGUUUAAUAUCCAUGUCAACGAGAUCAUAAUGCAGGACAGCAUCACAAGGCCACCAAUAACCUCACAUUGACGGUCCUGAAUAUUGGCUCUGAUAUACAUUGGGCAAUGCAGUGGAAGGCUACCAGCUGUGUUCCCUAGGGAAGUAUGGGCUGUCACAAUACUGGAUGAUUACCAUGAACAACACCAACCCCAGAGACAGAAGCACAUUUUACUUCUUAGUGUAUUUUCCUAGUAAAAUGUUAUGGACUGGAAAUAAUUUUGAAUUCACGUUUAAUUUAGAAAAUGUGCUUUUCCAAUCAAGAUUUGCUCCCAAAUGCUUAACAAAAUUGCCAGUCUAUUGGUUGAUCAGUAUCAUGGGAAACUGGUCAACAUAACUUCAACUACAGAACAACUCAAUUUUCAAAGGUCUUGGUUUGUGACUUGUGCAUCAAAUAGCCAAAUUAGAUGAACGGAGAUAUUUACAGAAUUUGAGCAUGGAGUAUCAUUCCAGAAUAUAAUUUCAGAAAUCAAAACAACAAUAAUGUUAACAAUAAAAACAAUUUGGACAACUAUAACUAUGGUUUAAGACCAAGACCAGAUAGACUGGCUGGUCAUCAAGGUGAAUCAAUUUCUGGUCUUAAGGCAUCAUGACCUUCAGUGGAGAAAAACAGCUUCAUGAAGUACUACAGUGUCUUCUAUGUGUCAGCUAUCUAUCACCAGCAAAAACAAAUGUAUAACUGUUAGUCAUCUGGAUUACUUAUAGUGACCAACAACUUUUGAAAUGCCAACAUAGCACCCACAAGCAGAAAUAUUAACAGCUAGGGAACCAUGCCAGGGUUGGUGUAGCUGUCCAGUGACCCAUUUGGGCCACAAUCUUCCAUAGCAACAAGUGUUUUCAUCCCAGUCCUCACAUGGGUGGAUUUAGACUCAAAUCCAUGUCGCUGAAUCAAAAACACACUGGUUCCUGGAAAUGCCACCACAUUCAUGGAACAGACUGUCAGUUCUUUCAUAUCCCAAUAUUUAACUGGUCAAGUGACAGUAUAAAUGACAUAAAAACUCAAAAAAGAAAACUCCAAGUCAUGGAAUCCAGAAACGCAGUACAACGACUACAGCAGUCCCACCUAUGUGGAUUUUGGCCCUCUAAUUUAUAUGUACAGAGAUACACGACCUGUGGGUGCUUGCUAAACUAUUGUAAUUGUAAUUUCAAUAAUUUUAGUCACUUUCAAUUUCACAUGUUUUCAUUGUACAUAUACAAUGGCCUGCAGUGCUUUUCUUCCUACAAAUCCUGACAAACUGCUCCUCCUCACUCACUCACCACUGGCACUGCACUGCCCACUACCCACACACAAAAGUCCA